Molecule: long non-coding RNA, 475 nt
Organism: Acinonyx jubatus (cheetah)
Lineage: Eukaryota; Metazoa; Chordata; Mammalia; Carnivora; Felidae
Exons: 3
Source: RefSeq, a predicted model, not a curated record
UACUGCUUGCUGCCAAGUGGAAAGAGACACCAAGCCUGCUUCAACUGACCUAGAAAGUAGAGAGGUGGGCGAAACUGCUGAGAAAGCAACAAAACACAGAAACAUGUUCUAUGUGUUUCUCUGAUUAGAGUUGAGAAGAACUCUCUAUCAAAUAGCCAGGAAUCAUCAGAGAGCGGGUUCUACAUUUCUUCAGUAACCGCUUCUGUGUUAUUCCAAGAUGCUCUGAUGAGAAACUGUGCAUCAGAAGAAUAAUUUUUCCAAUUAGAGAAACAAGCAGAAAAUAGUUUCCUUUCCUACAGCACCACACCAAUGCACAUUCUAACGGCCUUAUUCUAACCACCACCUCCCACACCUGCUUCCUCUGGGUGGACAGCUCAUCUCCAUUUGCCUGAGACUUUCCAGUUGCAGCACUGACUGUCUUUAUCCCAGGAAAGGCCUCAGUGCCAGGUCCUGGGGUGGUUGGUCACCCUACAGG